Ostrea edulis (European flat oyster) is the source of this 150-nucleotide long non-coding RNA. RefSeq lists it as uncharacterized. The record is from RefSeq and is a predicted model, not a curated record. NCBI's taxonomy places the organism in Eukaryota, Metazoa, Mollusca, Bivalvia, Ostreida, Ostreidae. The transcript is spliced from 3 exons.
CGAACCGUCCCACAAUAUCUUGUAUUUUCAGCACCAAGUCAUCGAUCAGUCAGGCUUGGAUGCACUUAAAUUGAAAAUAUAAUGGUAAUCGAUAUCUGUAAAGCUACUGCAGCAACACUGAAUAAUCCAGCACCUGUGUACCUCGUUUUG